AGCGGGACGAAGCAGGAGCAAAACAAACCGAGGCUCGGCAAAUGGUGUAAUUCGAUCCAUCUCCGAGUCAAUCCUUCAAGCGGCGCGGGCCCACCCCCGGGCGCGGACGGUGCCACUUUGUGGAAGGACACUGAAUGCUCAAGCUGAAUAAAAAGAGAAACAACUCCUCCUCCAUGGCUGUCUCCUAAAACGUGAAUUGUGAUGUGUGCUGAACAAUCUCUUCAAACUUAUCUUCUUAAGGAAAGCUUUAAAAAAGAGCCUUGCCAUUGUCUGUAAUUUGUAUUUCAAUUACAAAGCUCAAGGAAGAGCCUUCCUGCAAAAUCCAGAAAGGUCCAGAAUGACUGUUUAGAGGUUUUUAACAGCAUCACACGUCCAUUAAAUUGGAGCAAGUCCAUGUAACAGUUGUAUUAUACUUUUAAAAUCUUAUUGCAUCUGAUCUGUACACAUAACACCGUGUGUGUGUGUGUGUGUGUGUGUGUGUGUGUGUGUGUUUGCGUGUGCGCGCACAUGCCUAUUUUCCUCUAAGAGUUCUUGUUUAAAAGCUUUGUGGGUUCUUUGCUAUAUUAAAAUAUUUGAAAUUGUGCUCAUAAAGUA
Long non-coding RNA from Myotis daubentonii (Daubenton's bat), 594 nucleotides. RefSeq lists it as uncharacterized. The record is from RefSeq and is a predicted model, not a curated record. NCBI's taxonomy places the organism in Eukaryota, Metazoa, Chordata, Mammalia, Chiroptera, Vespertilionidae.